CAUCAAUAUUAUUAUUGAAAAGAUAUAUUUUAACGGUCAUUAAAAAACUAGUUUCAUUAAAAAUGUACUUCGUACGUGUAUACACAUCAUGCAUCAAUUUGUACAAAUAUCACAAACAAUUAGUGGGUCCCACAAUGGGCCCCAAUCACUGCUACACCCACCAUUGUAAAUGAUAUUUAUCCAAAAUAUUGCACAAUAUAGGUGCAUGCACGUAUUUAUUUUUUUUGACAAAACAUAUAAUUGAUUAUCUUUAAAAAAGUACUUCUACG
RNAcentral lists this long non-coding RNA (269 nucleotides) under Actinidia chinensis (golden kiwifruit). RNAcentral describes it as "long non-coding RNA (ACHI_LNC007551)". Lineage: Eukaryota; Viridiplantae; Streptophyta; Magnoliopsida; Ericales; Actinidiaceae. The record is from RNAcentral.